Lycium ferocissimum is the source of this 533-nucleotide long non-coding RNA. RefSeq lists it as uncharacterized. The transcript has 2 exons. NCBI's taxonomy places the organism in Eukaryota, Viridiplantae, Streptophyta, Magnoliopsida, Solanales, Solanaceae. The record is from RefSeq and is a predicted model, not a curated record.
GAUGAUAUAGGGGAGAUGCUGCCCAAAUUUUCGUAACCCAAUUAGUCUUCCAUAAUUAGUGCUUAUAAGUUGAUGGAAAUAUGAUGAAAGUAUGAUUAAAGAUAUAUUUCUCAAUAUAUAGGCUCGGGUGAAGGGCAAGCAUCAGUGUAAGGAAUUCUUUAAGCGGUGGCUUGACGGAUAAGACACUGCAUUUCGUGUUGUAGGCUCCGACAGAGUUAUCGAGGAGCAACUGCAGUAGGAUUUUCCAGCUUCAGCGGUGUUAGCAAGUGCCACUACUCCGGGCUUGCUAUCUUUUGGUACUUUUCUGUUAGUAUAAUGUAUGUUCAUAUGUAUACUCUUAGAGGCUCAUGGACAUAGUGGGAUAUGUAAAUAUUAUGUAUGGCCUUGUCAGCCUUGUUUUAGGUUCUUGAUAUUUUUCUGAUAGCCUUGUCGGCUUUAUGAUAUACGUUAUGUUGUGGCGAUCUUGUCGGUCCGCAUAUGUACAUAUGUGUUGAAUUAUCGGAGAUUUCUAUGUUGGGCCUUUUCUGCGUGCA